UCCUACGGGAGGCAGCAGUGGGGAAUAUUGCACAAUGGGGGAAACCCUGAUGCAGCAACGCCGCGUGAGUGAUGAAGGUCUUCGGAUUGUAAAACUCUGUCUUUGGGGACGAUAAUGACGGUACCCGAGGAGGAAGCCACGGCUAACUACGUGCCAGCAGCCGCGGUAAU
RNAcentral lists this ribosomal RNA (170 nucleotides) under uncultured Clostridium sp. Its description in RNAcentral is "partial 16S ribosomal RNA". It matches the Rfam family "Bacterial small subunit ribosomal RNA", at positions 337 to 524 of the family's 1533-position model. Lineage: Bacteria; Bacillati; Bacillota; Clostridia; Eubacteriales; Clostridiaceae. The record is from RNAcentral.